RNAcentral lists this ribosomal RNA (403 nucleotides) under uncultured bacterium. RNAcentral describes it as "bacterial SSU rRNA". It matches the Rfam family "Bacterial small subunit ribosomal RNA", at positions 355 to 775 of the family's 1533-position model. The record is from RNAcentral.
UGGGGAAUAUUGCACAAUGGGCGAAAGCCUGAUCCAGCCAUGUCGCGUGAGUGAUGAAGGCCUUAGGGUUGUAAAGCUCUUUCACUCGGGACGAUAAUGACGGUACCGAGAGAAGAAGCCCCGGCUAACUUCGUGUCAGCAGCCGCGGUAAUACGAAGGGGGCUAGCGUUGUUCGGAAUCACUGGGCGUAAAGCGCGCGUAGGCGGACCGUUAAGUCGGAGGUGAAAUCCUGGGGCUCAACCCCAGAACUGCCUUCGAUACUGGCGGUCUCGAGUCCGGGAGAGGUGAGUGGAACUGCCAGUGUAGAGGUGAAAUUCGUAGAUAUUGGCAAGAACACCAGUGGCGAAGGCGGCUCACUGGCCCGGUACUGACGCUGAGGUGCGAAAGCGUGGGGAGCAAACAG